This 137-nucleotide ribosomal RNA is filed under the name Jaculus jaculus (lesser Egyptian jerboa). The record is from RNAcentral. Lineage: Eukaryota; Metazoa; Chordata; Mammalia; Rodentia; Dipodidae.
GUCCACGGCCAUACCACCCUGAAUGCGCCCGAUCUCGUCUGAUCUCGGAAGCUAAGCAGGGUCGGGCCUGGUUAGUACUUGGAUGGGAGAAGCUUCUCUGACUAAAGAUGAGAGAGCGCAGGACUAGUCUAUGGGCA